ACGACAACACAGUUGCUGCCUUCAAGUGAACAUGGGAAGCUCUUAUUUCCAAGACGGACAUUUGUUAUUACGGCAUGUAACACAUUCAAGUUGGAAGACAGAAUAUGGAAGAGGCUAAACUAUUUUUUUUUUUUUUUUUGUACCAGUAAAUAACCAUCAGCAAAAACACCUGCAGCAUUUUUCUAUGACUUAUAUGGUUUAUAAAUGCAUGAUAUCUAAAAAAUUAUUAAUUAAUUUGCAUAAAACAAACCCAAAGGUCGACAUGCCUUUCCAAGACGGCGUCAUCUAGAAUUCAGAGUUUCCCCACUGUAAAUACAACUUUGCUUGGUCAUUCAUGUGCUUGGAACUCGGAAUUAUGAUAUAUAUAUAUAUAUAUAUAUAUAGUUUCUGUUGACAUUUUCAGACAAUAUGUUUUUCUUCUCUUUCAGCUGAAAACCGAAAAUAGUAUUUUGGUGCUUAUUUGCGACACGGAGGUUUUCAGGUCUUGUCUUGUUAUUUUAUGUAUCACGAGUGCAAAAGUAAUUGUAUUUUAUGAAAAGUUCAGAUUCUAAGCUUUCAAUUGGUACCACACGAGUGACUUGUGUAUCCAGGGACUUUUAUUUUGUAAUCAUAAACUUAUUAUACACUCCAGGCCCCAACCACGGAUCCGGUACUGAGUCCAAGGAGUGGAAGAUGUUAAAAAUCAGCGGAGAACUGCAAGUCAGGCAGAUCAAUUCAACUAGUUAGUGGAGAGGAGACAGGAAAUGACAGGGGAGAAGAGUGGGAAUGGGAUCAGGAACCACCUCACAAGCUUGGACUCGAACUUGGGUCACCUGCAACGCAUCAGCACCAUAUGUCAUGAGCGCAGCCUGCAUAGGCUAUGACUGGAAUAAACUGUUCUUUGCGGUUUGGUAACCAUGCAACAUCAUACAUCGAUUUUAGAUUUGACGUAAUCAACUGUGCAGCUUUCAUGGAUGUCACACUGAUGUCUUAAACGUCAAGGUGUGCCGGUUUUUAAGUGUUUUAUAUGGUUUAUUCUCAUCAUGUAAGCGCAUGUAAUACUGUACAAUGAGCACUGAUAAGACUUUUCAGCUUGAGAGUAAAUUUGCACUGCAUUUACAGAUGAUUGUACUAUAUUAAACUGUAUAUCCUACUGAAUAUAAUAUAUAAUAAUAAUGCUAAGGAUCCUGAUAUUUGAUUGUCCUGAUAAUGCCACAUGUACAGUGUCUGAUUUCACAGUACACCAGUAUACUAUGGCAAACAUUAUUUUACUGGAUAAACAUGCACAUAUUUUUGAAAAGAAUGGUUUAGAAACAUGUAAUCAGUUUCAGCUGAUGUCUCCAUUGCCCUCUGCUGGGCUAAUGUUUGGUUCCACUCGAUCCCCAAUGGAUCAUUUUGCUCUUUAAUGAACCAUUUUUACUUAUUUGCCCUAGAAAAUAAUAAUAUUGGUCUAAGGAGUAAUAACACUAAUAAUAAUA
Molecule: long non-coding RNA, 1457 nt
Organism: Myxocyprinus asiaticus (Chinese sucker)
Lineage: Eukaryota; Metazoa; Chordata; Actinopteri; Cypriniformes; Catostomidae
Exons: 3
Source: RefSeq, a predicted model, not a curated record